UUUUUUUUUUUUUUUUUUUUUUUUUUAUGGCAUCGCGCUCCUGGCGCAUUCAGCCAGACGAGUAAAGCAGGGAAACGGAAUUAAAGGAUUACAUUAUAACGGGUAAGACGGAAUUUUGGAAAAGGAUCAGGAAAAGGUAAAUUAUAGGCAGUUAGAGUUUAAUGUUAUGACGUGAAAUAAAUGAAUACAAUGAUUUAAAUAUAUAUGGAGAAGAAUCAUUCAUAUACAGGAGUGUUGUAAUAGAUGUGGGAAACGGAACUUUAAAAUCUGACAGCUGUCUUAAUAGUAUAGAACGAUCAUAAAGGUUACAUGCAAAGAAUAUAUGGUUAAGAUCAGCGGGAUCAGCUCCACAAGUACAUGCAGAACUGGCCACGCGAUUUAGUAAUUUGAGGUGUUCCGGUGUACAUACGUGACCCAAUCUCAUUCGAAUUAACAUACUAGUUGCAGGUUUUGGCAGAGAGAUUUUAGCAAACCAAGGAUUCCAAAGCACUCACCACUGUACACAGAGGAUUCUGGUGGCAACUUUAUUUUUUGGUAAAUAUUAGAUUGGGUGUGGAGAACACCAACGCCAACACAACCAUUCUCUGACGUCUUAGAAGCAUCUGUGUACAUAUGAUGAGCACCCAGGCCAUCUGUUCCAAUGAAUCCCAGGAAUUGUUGAUUUUGUUCAACAUCAUUCUUGGAGACUCCAAUAUCGAGGAGAACUGGAGGAAUAAGUGUCAGAGAAUCAUAUUCAUAUUGGAAAAUGGGAAGUGUUGAAGAGCUAACAGUGGGAGCUGAUAUAGAUUUAAGUUUUUGAAAGCUUUUUACUAAACAAGGAGGACUUUUGUGUUUCCAAUAGUUGGAAGUAGUUAUUUGAAGCACAAGGUUAGACAGGAUAAUCCAGAGUUGGUGAUUAGAGAAUUGGGAACAACGGAAAAUAAAUCUAUCACUAAGAUAUUGGCGUCGUAAAUGAAGUGGAGGCUCAACACACUCAACUUGCAUGGCAUUGAUAGGGCUUGAAUUCAUGGCCCCACAAAUCAAUCUGAGUGCUUUGGAUUGAAUACGAUCUAGUUUUUGGAAGCCAGCUACAUAUCCUGGCUCUAACAAAAAUGUCCCAUAAUCUAAAAUACUUCUUAUCAAGGCAUUAUACAUGAGUUUCAUGCAAAAAGGAUGUGAACCCCACCAAACUCCUGAAACGCACCUGAGGAUA
Molecule: long non-coding RNA, 1192 nt
Organism: Cydia splendana
Lineage: Eukaryota; Metazoa; Arthropoda; Insecta; Lepidoptera; Tortricidae
Exons: 2
Source: RefSeq, a predicted model, not a curated record